AUUAUAUUGGCAGAAUAAUGCAUUAGAAUUAGAAUCUAAUUAACUAUUAAUCA
Molecule: transfer RNA, 53 nt
Filed under: Pardosa buttneri
Lineage: Eukaryota; Metazoa; Arthropoda; Arachnida; Araneae; Lycosidae
Description: tRNA-Leu
Source: RNAcentral